GACGAACGCUGGCGGCGUGCCUAAUACAUGCAAGUCGAGCGAAUUGAUGGGAGCUUGCUCCCUGAGAUUAGCGGCGGACGGGUGAGUAACACGUGGGUAACCUGCCUGUAAGACUGGGAUAACUUCGGGAAACCGGAGCUAAUACCGGAUACUUUCUUUUCUCGCAUGAGAAGAGAUGGAAAGAUGGUUCUGCUAUCACUUACAGAUGGACCCGCGGCGCAUUAGCUAGUUGGUGAGGUAACGGCUCACCAAGGCGACGAUGCGUAGCCGACCUGAGAGGGUGAUCGGCCACACUGGGACUGAGACACGGCCCAGACUCCUACGGGAGGCAGCAGUAGGGAAUCUUCCGCAAUGGACGAAAGUCUGACGGAGCAACGCCGCGUGAGCGAAGAAGGCCUUCGGGUCGUAAAGCUCUGUUGUUAGGGAAGAACAAGUACGAGAGUAACUGCUCGUACCUUGACGGUACCUAACCAGAAAGCCACGGCUAACUACGUGCCAGCCGCCGCUGUAA
This 511-nucleotide ribosomal RNA is filed under the name uncultured bacterium. Its description in RNAcentral is "partial 16S ribosomal RNA". It matches the Rfam family "Bacterial small subunit ribosomal RNA", at positions 28 to 523 of the family's 1533-position model. The record is from RNAcentral.